CCUACGGGGGGCAGCAGUGGGGAAUUUUGCGCAAUGGGGGAAACCCUGACGCAGCAACGCCGCGUGCGGGACGAAGGCCCUCGGGUCGUAAACCGCUUUCAGCAGGGAAGACCACGACGGUACCUGCCGAAGAAGCUCCGGCUAACUACGUGCCAGCAGCCGCGGUAAUACGUAGUGGGCGAGCGUUAUCCGGAUUUAUUGGGUUUAAAGGGUGCGUAGGCGGAUCGUUAAGUCAGUGGUCAAAUUGAGGGGCUCAACCCCUUCCCGCCAUUGAAACUGGCGUUCUUGAGUGGAAGAGAAGUAUGCGGAAUGCGUGGUGUAGCGGUGAAAUGCAUAGAUAUCACGCAGAACCCCGAUUGCGAAGGCAGCAUGCCGGCUUCCGACUGACGCUGAAGCACGAAAGCGUGGGGAUCGAACAGGAUUAGAUACCCCAGUAGUC
This 439-nucleotide ribosomal RNA is filed under the name uncultured bacterium. RNAcentral's name for it is "partial 16S ribosomal RNA". It matches the Rfam family "Bacterial small subunit ribosomal RNA", at positions 338 to 795 of the family's 1533-position model. The record is from RNAcentral.